Molecule: ribosomal RNA, 514 nt
Filed under: uncultured bacterium
Lineage: Bacteria
Description: bacterial SSU rRNA
Rfam family: Bacterial small subunit ribosomal RNA
Source: RNAcentral
AUCCUGGCUCAGGAUGAACGCUAGCGACAGGCUUAACACAUGCAAGUCGAGGGGCAGCACGGGAGUAGCAAUACAACUGGUGGCGACCGGCGCACGGGUGAGUAACGCGUAUGCAACCUACCUAUCAGAGGGGAAUAACCCGGCGAAAGUCGGACUAAUACCGCAUAAAACAGGGGCACCGCAUGGUGAUAUUUGUUAAAGAAAUUCGCUGAUAGAUGGGCAUGCGUUCCAUUAGGUAGUUGGUGAGGUAACGGCUCACCAAGCCGACGAUGGAUAGGGGAACUGAGAGGUUGGUCCCCCACACUGGUACUGAGACACGGACCAGACUCCUACGGGAGGCAGCAGUGAGGAAUAUUGGUCAAUGGGCGGGAGCCUGAACCAGCCAAGUCGCGUGAAGGGAAAAGAAGGAUCUAUGGUUCGUAAACUUCUUUUGCAGGGGAAUAAAGUGCAGGACGUGUCCUGUUUUGUAUGUACCCUGAGAAUAAGGAUCGGCUAACUCCGUGCCAGCAGCAGC